This 352-nucleotide ribosomal RNA is filed under the name uncultured bacterium. RNAcentral describes it as "bacterial SSU rRNA". It matches the Rfam family "Bacterial small subunit ribosomal RNA", at positions 8 to 350 of the family's 1533-position model. The record is from RNAcentral.
AGAGUUUGAUCAUGGCUCAGGAUGAACGCUAGCUACAGGCUUAACACAUGCAAGUCGAGGGGAAACGACAUCGAAAGCUUGCUUUUGAUGGGCGUCGACCGGCGCACGGGUGAGUAACGCGUAUCCAACCUGCCCACCACUUGGGGAUAACCUUGCGAAAGUAAGACUAAUACCCAAUGACGUCUCUAGAAGACAUCUGAAAGGGAUUAAAGAUUUAAUCGGUGAUGGAUGGGGAUGCGUCUGAUUAGCUUGUUGGCGGGGUAACGGCCACCAAGGCUACGAUCAGUAGGGGUUCUGAGAGGAAGGUCCCCACAUUGGAACUGAGACACGGUCCAAACGUCCUACGGGAGCA